RNAcentral lists this long non-coding RNA (2895 nucleotides) under Homo sapiens (human). RNAcentral's name for it is "METTL14 divergent transcript". Lineage: Eukaryota; Metazoa; Chordata; Mammalia; Primates; Hominidae. The record is from RNAcentral.
AGGCCAAAGUCUUAUUUGAGUUAUUACCAUUAUUAUUCACCACACUUGCCAUCUUAUUUCAAGCCUACAGUGGCGGAAGUGGAGUAAGACAUCAUGUUGCCUCAAGUUUAAUUGGAAAUCGCGUGCCUUGUGAAGAAUGGACACUCAGUAGAUGCUUAUUGAUGAACCUGUUGGUUGAGGAUAACUCGCUAACUUUUCUGAGCUUUGUUGGAAAAACUAGACAGGGGUCUCACUAUGUGAUGCAGGAUGAUCUCAAACUCCCUGGCCUCAAGCGAUCCUCCUGCCUUGGUCUCCUAAAGUGCUGGGAUUACAGCAGGUCACUGUAUCUCUAUGCAUUACAGAAAAUGGCUAGUUAAAAACUUGUCAAGAUUAUGAAUGAGUGCAUCCAAAAGUAAUCACUGGAAUUGCUGUUCAUUGUGGGCUUCCCAGCAUUCUCCUCUGGGCAUUUAUAUCAAAUAACUUAUGAGUGAUGCAGAAUUAGUAUUCACCGGUCAGACAUUGAUUAUUUAGAAUUCCCUCUGAUUUGAAUUACAUCUACUGUUUUUUUCUCCCAUCCAUUUAUGGGUCAAAUGUACAAUAAGCCAAAACAUGUUGAUUCUGGUGAAAUUUAGCAGAGAAAAACAGCUUCACCUAGUGGCCACAGAAACUCGAAAAGCUUUACUGAAAAGAAAUAAAUUGGAUAUCUUCUCAUCCUGGAUAUGAACUGGAUUCCAACUUAACCUUCCAACUGUUUUGCUGUUUCUCUGAAGUCUGAACCUUGUGUAUGGCAAUACUUAUCUCAAGCAAAAAUAUAGUUUCACAUUGGUAGUACUGUAUUCAGGAAAACUGGAAAUUGUACUAUGAAGGAGCACUUCUACCACAUCCGUAUCUAAGUCUACAUUCACAGCUGCUGGAAACAGAUAUUGUAUUCAUACUAUGGUGGGAAACACAUAAUGUAUGUAUGUAUACACAUGUGUGCACACAUAUAUAUGCUAGCGUAUAAUCUGGAAAAAUUUUGCUAAGAUAUAUAGGAAGAGAACCUUUUUAUUCAGAAUAUUGAACAAGUAGGACUCAUAGUGUAAAAUUAAGAAAAAUUAUUUUUCUUCUACUGCCCUUUCUAUGGAUUUGGUUCUUCCUCUUCCCCUGAAUGUAAACUUAAGCAGUCUUCUAUGCAUUUUGUGUUCAUUCCUAAAUAUUAGAAAUAGUUAUUUGAUUAUUUAGCCUUUAGUCUCAGUUUAAUAACCAAAAUAUGAGGUUAAAAUUUAAUUCUGGCUACAGAAUUAAGGCUUCUCUCUCCUGCCGCACUUCCAGGCCAGUUGCAGGCAUGAUACCAGCAGUCUGGGAGGUAGAGACAAGAGGACACAUCUCUGCUGCUCCCUUCUUUCCCCAUGGUUAUGCGCCAACUUUGGUUUCACCAGGCCUACAGUGCUUCCCAGGUUUGGAGUGUGGGGAAGGAGAAGAUUUAAUGGAAGCAGCUUAAGGGAAAUGCUCAAACUAAACUGAUACUUUCUUCAUGAUCUAGCAUUGAAACUUUCUGGACUUGACAGAUAUUUAAAAUUAACUCUUUUUCUCAUUAACAUUUUCAUGGGUUCUUCCAAGAUCCACAUUACCCAACCUGUGGGUUCCCAUGACAAGGAUUAAGGCAUCUCUGUUUCUUCUGGACCUUUAUUUACCUGGAUUCUUUCUCUAGGGACUGUUUACCCUUAUGGGCCAUCCUUUUGAGCAUAACCUAACAAGAUUCAUGCUGGCUUUAAGUGAGUGGUCCACAUUUGGUUCAUGGGAAAACCACAUAGUUUGUCCCCAGCAAACCUGGAAGUAAUAUUUAUUUUACUGCUGGAAUUAAGGAAAACCAAAAAUCCUAUUACAAAAUGGCUCCUCUAAACAUUCACAUUACCCCUUUUUGUCUCUACCCCCUGAGGAACUAACCAACUCUAGCUCUUUGGAUUUUCCAAAUGAGAGGUCAACACAUCGAUGUCUCCAAGACCUUAAGUUCUUCUAGUGGUCUCUUUAAGCUUCCUCCCUUGAAUUAUGGUGAAAAGGGACUGCCUGCUACCCCCUCCUCUUGAGGAGAGGGGUGGUAUCACAGCCUAACAAUAAUUUCCAAAAAUUUUCUCCUCCAGCUCUAAUGCUUAACCAGUUUAGACUUUCAAAGUGGAUAAUGUAAUUUAAAGCCUUACAGCUAGUUAUGCUCUACUUCUUCUAUAAGUCCUGCAACCAGGUGGUCUCAAUCCUCACUUGCGAAUACUGCAUUUACUCACCUUGUGCCCUAGCCAAAACUUCCACAACAAAUUCUGUGGUGCAUUUAAGUGAAAGAUGUUAUUUGAUUGAUAGAGAGAUAGAUAGAUAGAUACAGAUAUAGAUAUAGAUAUGUAUUAGAACCAUGUCAAAUGGUUAACUUUUUUAAAAAGGUAAAUUUUUUAUAUUGAGAUAAUUAUAGAUUCUCAUACACUCGUAAGAAAUAACACAGAAAGAUCCCAUGUAGCCUUUAUCCAGUUUCCCCAGUGAUAAUAUCUUGCAAAACUAUAGUCCAAUAUCACAACCAAGAUACUGGCAUUGAUAGAUCACUUCCAUCACCACAAACAUCCCUCAUGUUGCCCUUUUAUAGCCACACUCAUUUCCCUCCUGCUGCCACCCUCUCCUUUACCCAUAACCACUUAUCUGUUCUCUAUUUUUGUAAUUUUAUCAUUUCAAGAAUACUGUAGAAAUGGAAUAAUACAGUAUGUAUUUUAGGGCUUAUCUUUUCUACACUCGGCAUGAUUCUCUGGAGAUUCAUCCAGGUUGUUGCAUGUAUCAAUAGUUCAUUCCUUUUUUACUGCUGAACAGUAUUCCAUUGUAUGUAUGUACCAUAGUUUAACUAUUUGCUCAAUGAAAGACAUAUAUUAAUAGUUUCCAGUUUUUGCUGUUAUGAAUAAAGCU